RNAcentral lists this ribosomal RNA (253 nucleotides) under uncultured bacterium. RNAcentral describes it as "partial 16S ribosomal RNA". It matches the Rfam family "Bacterial small subunit ribosomal RNA", at positions 524 to 776 of the family's 1533-position model. The record is from RNAcentral.
UACGAAGGGUGCAAGCGUUACUCGGAAUUACUGGGCGUAAAGCGUGCGUAGGCGGUUAGUUAAGUCUGUCGUGAAAGCCCUGGGCUCAACCUGGGAAUUGCGAUGGAAACUGGCGAGCUAGAGUACGGUAGAGGAUGGUGGAAUUCCCGGUGUAGCGGUGAAAUGCGUAGAGAUCGGGAGGAACACCCGUGGCGAAGGCGGCCAUCUGGACCAGUACUGACGCUGAGGCACGAAAGCGUGGGGAGCAAACAGG